RNAcentral lists this ribosomal RNA (497 nucleotides) under uncultured bacterium. RNAcentral describes it as "partial 16S ribosomal RNA". It matches the Rfam family "Bacterial small subunit ribosomal RNA", at positions 28 to 507 of the family's 1533-position model. The record is from RNAcentral.
GAUGAACGCUGGCGGCGUGCCUAAUACAUGCAAGUCGAGCGAACAGACGAGGAGCUUGCUCCUUUGACGUUAGCGGCGGACGGGUGAGUAACACGUGGGUAACCUACCUAUAAGACUGGGAUAACUUCGGGAAACCGGAGCUAAUACCGGAUAAUAUUUCGAACCGCACGGUUCGAUAGUGAAAGAUGGCUCUGCUAUCACUUAUAGAUGGACCUGCGCCGUAUUAGCUAGUUGGUAAGGUAACGGCUUACCAAGGCAACGAUACGUAGCCGACCUGAGAGGGUGAUCGGCCACACUGGAACUGAGCCACGGUCCAGACUCCUAAGGGAGGCAGCAGUAGGGAAUCUUCCGCAAUGGGCGAAAGCCUGACGGAGCAACGCCGCGUGAGUGAUGAAGGUCUUCGGAUCGUAAAACUCUGUUAUUAGGGAAGAACAAACGUGUAAGUAACUGUGCACGUCUUGACGGUACCUAAUCAGAAAGCCACGGCUAACUACGUG